AACGAACGCUGGCGGCAGGCCUCAUACAUGCAAGUCGAGCGGACGUAUUCUUUCGGGAGUACGUUAGCGGCGAACGGGUGAGUAACAGGUGGAUAACCUGCCUUCUGGUGGGGGAUAACGGCUGGAAACGGCCGCUAAUACCGCAUGUGGUUGCCGGUCCGCGGACCGGUAAAGAAAGGCGCCGCAAGGCGUCGCCAGAAGAUGGGUCCGCCCCCCAUUAGCUAGUUGGCGGGAUAACAGCCCACCAAGGCAACGAUGGGUAGCCGGACUGAGAGGUUGGCCGGCCACACUGGAACUGAGACACGGUCCAGACACCUACGGGUGGCAGCAGUAGGGAAUAUUGGGCAAUGGGCGAAAGCCUGACCCAGCCAUGCCGCGUGAAGGAAGACGGCCUUAUGGGUUGUAAACUUCUUUACUACGCGAAUAGAGGUUAGUACGAGAUACUAAUAGGAAGGUAGUGUAGUAAAAAGCACCGGCUAACUCCGUG
RNAcentral lists this ribosomal RNA (487 nucleotides) under uncultured bacterium. RNAcentral describes it as "bacterial SSU rRNA". It matches the Rfam family "Bacterial small subunit ribosomal RNA", at positions 29 to 507 of the family's 1533-position model. The record is from RNAcentral.